GAAGAUCAGCGGCGGACGGGUGAGUAACACGUGGGCAACCUGCCUGUAAGACUGGGAUAACUUCGGGAAACCGGAGCUAAUACCGGAUAAUCCUUUCCCUCUCAUGAGGGAAAGCUGAAAGACGGUUUCGGCUGUCACUUACAGAUGGGCCCGCGGCGCAUUAGCUAGUUGGUGAGGUAACGGCUCACCAAGGCGACGAUGCGUAGCCGACCUGAGAGGGUGAUCGGCCACACUGGGACUGAGACACGGCCCAGACUCCUACGGGAGGCAGCAGUAGGGAAUCUUCCGCAAUGGACGAAAGUCUGACGGAGCAACGCCGCGUGAGCGAUGAAGGCCUUCGGGUCGUAAAGCUCUGUUGUCAGGGAAGAACAAGUACCGGAGUAACUGCCGGUACCUUGACGGUACCUGACCAGAAAGCCACGGCUAACUACGUGCCAGCAGCCGCGGUAAUACGUAGGUGGCAAGCGUUGUCCGGAAUUAUUGGGCGUAAAGCGCGCGCAGGCGGUUCCUUAAGUCUGAUGUGAAAGCCCCCGGCUCAACCGGGGAGGGUCAUUGGAAACUGGGGAACUUGAGUGCAGAAGAGGAGAGCGGAAUUCCACGUGUAGCGGUGAAAUGCGUAGAGAUGUGGAGGAACACCAGUGGCGAAGGCGGCUCUCUGGUCUGUAACUGACGCUGAGGCGCGAAAGCGUGGGGAGCGAACAGGAUUAGAUACCCUGGUAGUCCACGCCGUAAACGAUGAGUGCUAAGUGUU
RNAcentral lists this ribosomal RNA (751 nucleotides) under Mesobacillus subterraneus. RNAcentral's name for it is "bacterial SSU rRNA". It matches the Rfam family "Bacterial small subunit ribosomal RNA", at positions 87 to 824 of the family's 1533-position model. Lineage: Bacteria; Bacillati; Bacillota; Bacilli; Caryophanales; Bacillaceae. The record is from RNAcentral.